AAUUGAAUCUUAAAUUAUUCAUUCAUUAUUCAGAGGACUGGGAAUCUCUGAAGUAGCCAGGACGAUUCAUAAGGGAGAAAAUGCAGGAUACUGUGGGAAUUACUCCAAUUUUGGACGUGAACUUCAAGUGACAAGGUCAGAUCACCAACAAACUGAGCAACCUUGAGAACUGCAAAAAAAGUGUGUCAGGCUAUAUGGUUGAAAUGAAGCUUUAGAUAAAUACAAUUUAGUGCAUGUUUAGUUUAAAAAUGCCAAGUUUGGGGAAUUCCUUUCAGUAGUUAAAACUGAAAAAUUAAUUGAAAGAUAGUUGGAGAUCGAAUUAGUACAUCUACAAGAUUAAUCUCUGUUGUUCAGGAUCUUUUGGCAGCUGUAAAAAUGAGCCAACAAAAUAUUUAUUUAUGGACAGCUUAGGGAAUUGGAUUUUUUUAGUUGGAAUAAUCAUAUAAGGGCAGAUGGGAGUACAGAAGGUUAAAUUAAAAAUGUUAAAAAAAGUGGAGUGAUUGAGGACAAAAAUAAACUGAAUACAUCAGCCCUUUCAAAAGAAGGCUUCAAUUAUGGAGAUCCUUGACUGGAGAAGGCCUACUGCUUAAUCAUGGCCAUGCUUGUUGCUGUGGCUUCUCCAGCUCCCAAACCUGCUGGGUGACAGCACAGAGCAAUUCCUAAAACCAGAGAAUUGGGAUUCCUGCCUGAUCCUUGCUGGAUGCUUCCUCUGAUCAGCUUCAGAAGGAGCUGUUAAAAACGAACUUACUCACUUGUCACUCAAUUCCCUGAUGUUUUCAUCAGCACUGCCUUCCAUGAGCUUCCUGAAGCCUGCUUGCCUGACUAUUCAUGUUGCCUUUGACUGUUUCAAGUACAGAAAGGGGAGGCUGGGGAAAGGAAGGUGAGGCUGCAUAAAAGAAUAAUUCAUGGUACUUCUGUCUGCAUAAAGGCAUUAUGAGACUUGAUAAGAACUCACAUAUGCAUGAAACAAAAUGUCUUUAGGGUGCCAACAUUAAUCUUUAUUGUUCAUUUUCACCAGCCAUGAGAAAAUCCUAUGUGGACAAUUAUAACCACACAUAUAACACAACAUGUUCUUUCCUCUCUGUUGAGUAUAAUUUCUUAUAUUUAGUUAAAUUUUAGUGGAUUCAUUCAUGGAGAUGCAUUUACUGCCUUACUGCAGCAGAUGAGAGCUCCGAGACUGAGAAUAAACCUGUCUGCAUUGAAGAAUGGCUUGAGUAA
RNAcentral lists this long non-coding RNA (1218 nucleotides) under Zonotrichia albicollis (white-throated sparrow). RNAcentral's name for it is "lncRNA (ENSZALG00000013665.1)". The record is from RNAcentral. Lineage: Eukaryota; Metazoa; Chordata; Aves; Passeriformes; Passerellidae.